Bombus impatiens (common eastern bumble bee) is the source of this 968-nucleotide long non-coding RNA. RefSeq lists it as uncharacterized. The transcript has 2 exons. The record is from RefSeq and is a predicted model, not a curated record. NCBI's taxonomy places the organism in Eukaryota, Metazoa, Arthropoda, Insecta, Hymenoptera, Apidae.
CCGCCCUGAAACACGAAACAGUCCAUGUAGAUCGAACAGUCGAGUACGACACGUUUUGCAUGUAAAUUAAUUCGGUACGCUGGUGGUGCACUUAGAGGAUUUCCAGUAUGAAAUAUAUAAUCUGAAUAUGUUUUAUCGCUUUCAAGAUUUCCAUGAUCCGAUUGUAAUUUUGAUAAUUGGAAACAUAGAUAAUGACAUGGCUAAAAUGGCAUUCAUGGCGGGCAGCCAAAGCUGCAGCUGUCUACAAGAUAGGACCGAUUUGCCAAUUAAUUCGCGUGUUAGUGACAAGGAAUGACAUGCUAAGAGGCAGCGCCUUAUACAUGCAACAUGAUGCGUAGUUGAUAUAUAUUUUAAGCAGCACUAAGAAAAAAUUCAUUCGGUUUAUUAAUGAUAUAUUCUCAUUAAAUUAAUAGACGACGCUCGUUUCGAUCAAUAGGUAUUACAACUUUUAACCGGCAUAAAAUUACAUGCGAAAUAUUUACAAAUUUCCAUAAAAUAAUCUAAAAUUCUAUGUUAUCCAAAAAUUAAGAAAGAAAUAUAACAGUUACCUUUUUUGAAAGUCUGCAACCAUAUCUCGUCGAUCUGAGAUUUUAGAAGAACCGUCUAAUCUCAUAAAAGUAUGUUUCCUAUGAUACAUGUACUCCUGCAAUGAAGACAUGAUAUAAAAUCUUGUAAUGACUAUUUCUUCAAAGAUCCAGAUUAAGUAAAAAUACCUCUAACAAAUCGAUCAUUUUUGUCAUCUGAGAGUAAAUAAGGACUCGAUGGCCUUGUUCUUUAAGACGACGUAAAAGACUAUCCAAAACAGAAAGUUUCCCAGCAUCUGUUACUAAAGUUUGCUUAUCUAUAACAAUAUUAAAAAUAAAAAGAAUGUUGUAUUAAAAUGCAUAUGAAAAAUCUACUACAAAUCAAACAAAAUUCUUACCCGGUACUAUAAUAUUUGACCAUCCAUUUAUAGGAGUACAUGCAGA